This 2522-nucleotide ribosomal RNA is filed under the name human gut metagenome. RNAcentral describes it as "Bacterial large subunit ribosomal RNA". It matches the Rfam family "Bacterial large subunit ribosomal RNA", at positions 3 to 2541 of the family's 2925-position model. The record is from RNAcentral.
UCAAGCUACAAAGGGCUUACGGAGGAUGCCUUGGUACGUGGCGCCGAAGAAGGACGUGACAAGCUGCGAAAAGUUGCGGGGAGGAGCAAAUAUCCUGUGAUCCGCAAAUAUCCGAAUGAGGGAACUCCGCACGGGUAAAGCCGUGUGAUCCGUAUAUGAAUAGAUAGUAUACGGAGGGGAACCCGGGGAACUGAAACAUCUAAGUACCCGGAGGAAAAGAAAACAAAAGUGAUUCCGAAAGUAGUGGCGAGCGAAAUCGGAAGAGCCCAAACCGAAUGUAGAAAUACGUUGGGGGUAAGGACCGCGAGAAGCAAGAGUGAAAGCUAACCGAAAUACCUGGGAAGGUAUAACGCAGAGGGUGAAAUUCCCGUAGGUGAAAGCGGAAGCUCGGCGAGCGGAAUCCGGAGUACGUCGGGACACGAGAAAUCCUGACGGAAGGAACGGGGACCAUCCCGUAAGGCUAAAUACGACCACGUGACCGAUAGCGAAUAGUACCGUGAGGGAAAGGUGAAAAGGACCCCGGGAGGGGAGUGAAAAAGAACCUGAAACCGUAAGUUUACAAGCAGACGGAGAGCGUUAAGUGCUCGACGUCGUACUUUUUGUAGAACGGGCCGGCGAGUUACGAUGUGAUGCGAGGUUAAGCGAUGAAGUCGCGGAGCCGAAGCGAAAGCGAAUCUGAAGAGGGUGAUAAGUAUCAUGUCGUAGACCCGAAACCGAAUGACCUAACCAUGAGCAGGUUGAAGCAAUGGUAAAACGUUGUGGAGGACCGAACACACGCCUGUUGAAAUAGUCGGUGAUGACUUGUGGUUAGCGGAGAAAUUCCAAACGAAUUCGGAUAUAGCUGGUUCUCCUCGAAAUAGCUUUAGGGCUAGCCUCGCGAGACAGACUAUGAAGGUAAAGCACUGAAUGACCUAGGGGGCUUCACAGCCUACCGAAGUUUAUCAAACUAAGAAUGUUAUAGUUAAAGGCGCGGGAGUCAGACAGCGACAGCUAAGUGCCGUUGUCAAAAGGGAAACAGCCCAGAUCUACAGCUAAGGUCCCGAAGUACAGGUUAAGUGGAAAAGGAUGUGACGAUGCAAAGACAACCAGGAUGUUGGCUCAGAAGCAGCCACGCAUUAAAAGAGUGCGUAAUAGCUCACUGGUCGAGUGACGUUGCGCCGAAAAUUAACGGGGCUCAAACCUGACACCGAAGCUUAGGAAUACUUUAAGAAGUAUUGGUAGAGGAGCAAUGUAUACGAGAAGAAGGCGUACCGGAAGGAGCGCUGGAUUGUAUAGAAGAGAGAAUGCCGGCAUAAGUAGCGAGAGCGGAGCGAGAAACUCCGCCGUCGAAAGUCUGAGGUUUUCCGGGGAAGGUUCGUCCGCCCGGAGAAAGUCGGGACCUAAGCGGAGGCCGAAAGGCGUACGUGAUGGACAGCAGGUUGAUAUUCCUGCACUACCGAGAGAGAUAAUGAAGCAAUGACACGGAAAGAUAGAAGAAGCGCGCGGAUGGAAAAGCGCGUCCAAGCAAAGAGGGUGGCUGGUAGUAAAGAACGCCAGUCGGAAGCCUGAUUUGUGACGGGGAGUGGACCAAGGAAACGAAGUCUUUGAAUCUACGCCGGCGAGAAAAGCUGCUAAAUAUUUCGAGGUACCCGUACCGCAAACCGACACAGGUAGACGAGAAGAAAAUUCUAAGACGAACGGGAGAACCCUUGUUAAGGAACUCGGCAAAAUGACCCCGUAACUUCGGGAGAAGGGGAGCCACAGCGAUGUGGUCGCAGUGAAGAGGUCCAAGCAACUGUUUAUCAAAAACACAGGUCUCUGCGAAAUCGAAAGAUGACGUAUAGGGGCUGACGCCUGCCCAGUGCCGGAAGGUUAAGGGGAGAUGUUAGGAGCAAGUCCGAAGCAUUGAACUUAAGCCCCGGUGAACGGCGGCCGUAACUAUAACGGUCCUAAGGUAGCGAAAUUCCUUGUCGGGUAAGUUCCGACCCGCACGAAUGGAGUAACGAUUUGGGCGCUGUCUCAACAGGGGGCCCGGCGAAAUUGUAGUAUACGUGAAGAUGCGUAUUAACCCGCGACUGGACGGAAAGACCCCGUAGAGCUUUACUGUAGCUUGAUAUUGAAUCUCGGCAACUGAUGCACAGAAUAGGUGGGAGACAGAGAAGCAGCGUUUUCGGGCGCUGCGGAGUCAACUUUGGGAUACCACUCUUCGGUUGCUGCGAUUCUAACCGAAAACCGUGAAACCGGGUUCGGGACAUUGUCAGGCGGGCAGUUUGACUGGGGCGGUCGCCUCCUAAAGAGUAACGGAGGCGCUCAAAGGUUCCCUCAGAAUGGUUGGAAAUCAUUCGACGAGUGUAAAGGUAUAAGGGAGCUUGACUGUGAGACUGACAAGUCGAACAGGUGCGAAAGCAGGACUUAGUGAUCAGGUGGUAUGAGAAUGGAAUUGCCAUCGCUUAACGGAUAAAAGUUACCUCGGGGAUAACAGGCUUAUCUCCCCCAAGAGUUCACAUCGACGGGGAGGUUUGGCACCUCGAUGUCGGCUCGUC